AACGAACGCUGGCGGCAGGCCUAACACAUGCAGGUCGAACGCCCUAGCAAUAGGGAGUGGCAGACGGGUGAGUAACACGUGGGAACCUUCCCUAUAGUACGGAAUAGCCCAGGGAAACUUGGAGUAAUACCGUAUACGCCCGAGAGGGGAAAGAUUUAUCGCUAUAGGAUGGGCCCGCGUCGGAUUAGCUAGUUGGUGAGGUAAUGGCUCACCAAGGCAACGAUCCGUAGCUGUUUGGAGAGAAUGACCAGCCACACGGGGACUGAGACACGGCCCAGACUCCUACGGGAGGCAGCAGUGGGGAACCUUGGACAAUGGGGGCAAGCCUGAUCCAGCCUUGCCGCGUGAGUGAUGAAGGCCUAGGGUUGUAAAGCUCUUUUGUCGGGGACGAUAAUGACGGUACCCGAAGAAUAAGCUCCGGCUAACUUCGUGCCAGCCGCCGCCGUAA
This 448-nucleotide ribosomal RNA is filed under the name uncultured bacterium. Its description in RNAcentral is "partial 16S ribosomal RNA". It matches the Rfam family "Bacterial small subunit ribosomal RNA", at positions 29 to 523 of the family's 1533-position model. The record is from RNAcentral.